UCUAUUGGAAGCCAUGAACCUGCAAUAUCUGAUACCCAUAUACAUAUACGUACUAAUCUGAAUCAUGAAUACUACCCCACGGCAAAACCCAUCGACAAUGCGAGGUGCGUCAUUCGCGGUGGCAGACAAGCGCUCCCCCUCUCUAAUACAUAGAGUUUAAAAUUGACUAGGUCUUAACACACAUACUUAGGACCUAGUUAAUCUCAAAUCCAAUUGAAUCCUAAUACAUAUACUUAUGAUUCAAUAAACCAAAAUACGAUUCAUUCAAUCCCAUUUAUAAAGGUCUCUUAAUCGAAGGUGCCCCAAUGCCACAGGGGGUAAUUAACAAUAGAUGCUUGCAUCUAUUGGAAGCCAUGAACCUGCAAUAUCUGAUACCCAUAUACAUAUACGUACUAAUCUGAAUCAUGAAUACUACCCCACAGCAAAACCCAUCGACAAUGCGAGGUGCGUCAUUCGCGGUGGCAGACAAGCGCUCCCCCUACUGUAGUUUCUUUAAAUCCUCUUCGAGUUUCUGCUUCACGCUGUUUGGGAAAUACGCCCCAUACAGCAUUCCGCAUAACUCAUCCUACUUCAUCUGCAACGCCACCAACCGUCGAGUACCCCUCAUCUUCCUCCACCAAGCAUGCGCAUUACCAGCCAAACAAUGCACUCCCAGAUAUACCUGCUCCCGCUCUGGUAUAAAUAAGUCCUCGAAUAGCUUCUCCAUCGCACUCACCCAGCC
RNAcentral lists this long non-coding RNA (721 nucleotides) under Ananas comosus (pineapple). RNAcentral describes it as "long non-coding RNA (ACOM_LNC015039)". The record is from RNAcentral. Lineage: Eukaryota; Viridiplantae; Streptophyta; Magnoliopsida; Poales; Bromeliaceae.